RNAcentral lists this ribosomal RNA (445 nucleotides) under uncultured bacterium. RNAcentral's name for it is "partial 16S ribosomal RNA". It matches the Rfam family "Bacterial small subunit ribosomal RNA", at positions 354 to 796 of the family's 1533-position model. The record is from RNAcentral.
GUAGGGAAUAUUGGGCAAUGGAUGCAAGUCUGACCCAGCCAUGCCGCGUGCCGGAUGAAGGCCCUCAGGGUUGUAAACGGCUUUUGACGGUGAAGAAUCGACAGGAUGCGUCCUGUUUUGACGGUAGCCGUUGAAUAAGCACCGGCUAACUCCGUGCCAGCAGCCGCGGUAAUACGGAGGGUGCGAGCGUUGUCCGGAUUUAUUGGGUUUAAAGGGUGCGUAGGCUGGAAGGUCAGUCAGCGGUGAAAAGCUGUCGCUUAACGAUAGUCUUGCCGCAGAUACUUCCUUUCUUGGAUGAGGAGGAGGCCACUGGAACGGAUGGUGUAGCGGUGAAAUGCAUAGAUAUCAUCCAGAACACCGAUUGCGAAGGCAGGUGGCUGUACCUUAAUCGACGCUGAUGCACGAAAGCAUGGGGAGCAAACAGGAUUAGAAACCCCAGUAGUCC